Molecule: long non-coding RNA, 201 nt
Filed under: Homo sapiens (human)
Lineage: Eukaryota; Metazoa; Chordata; Mammalia; Primates; Hominidae
Description: HSALNT0128889
Source: RNAcentral
GCCCUAUGACCAACCUGAAAUCUUAGGGUCUCUAGUUUGGCCUCUGUCCCCCAGCCCUGACAGCCCCCUGCGCUGUUGUGAUGUGACACUGUGAUAUCAUGUCAUAUAUAGCCAUGUCUUGCUACAGAAUCAUUGGCCUGGACCUCAGUGCCUGGAGUUCCUUACAUUCUGAAUAACAAUUAAGGGUAUAAUCCUGGGGAU